UAGUUGCUAUACCAAGAGCACCAAAUGGUGAUGUUAACAGAUUAGAACAAAUAAAAAACAUCAGGUACCCUGUAAAGAAUAGUGGACACAGACAAAGUAGUUCCCCCCCUCGGGAAGCUUACAUUCAUCCCAUGAGGAUACAACAUUGACCCAGAUAAAUUUAUUAAGAAGCAACUUGAGGAGGCAAAGGACACAAGCACCCUUGGCCAACAGGGAAGGGAGAUUUGAUAGAAGAGGUGAGACCUGAGAUGAGCCUUGAAGGAAAAUGAGAGUAGACCAGGAACCGAGAGCCUUAGGGAACAGGAAGUACCCAGAAGCAUGGGCAAACUGGAGAAAGAGCUUUCUAAAUCCAGCCAGAUCCUGUAUAUCUCGGGCUGUCAGGAACCCUCUUCCUUAGAGCACAUUCAGACAGAACAGUUUUGCAUUAAUUUAGGGCUAAUUGUCAGGUAAUGAAUUCGAUUUGGCUCACCAUAUUGAAAUCCCUUCUGCUCCCAGCUGAACACCAGUAAAUCAUUUGCAUCACAAAUCUCCUCUUUUCUGAAUGCUCAGCUUGCCUGGGCUGUUGCUCAGUCCUUCUCCUGUUCUCUGGUCUUUGAAAUCAGUUGAAAAAUCACGUUUUCUUUUUAAAGGGGGCAAUGUGGAGGCACAUCAGUUAAAGUCAGUCUUGCAGAAUUGGCUCUGAAAGUUCUGGAAAAUCCAAUUCAAAUUUUGCCCUGGACCACUCCUGCUGAGCUGUUUGAGAAUGGAUAGUGUUGGAGACCAUGAAGGAUACACCAUCUUGAAAAAAUCCAUCAGUAUGCGGUUUGAGAUCCUUAAGAAAUCUGGUGUAUGGGAAUAUAGCAGAGAGUCAUUGAAGUCCACCAGCAAGACAAAAGUCAGGAUGAGUGGUGUGGCUUGGGUUGCAUUAGAUGACCUUGGUUCCACAGCCUGUUUCAGCCACCUUGAUGUGUGUAGGAACAAACUGUUCUCAUCCACCCAUUCCAUCAGGGAGAGACCCAGAGAAGGUGACUCUCCCAUGUUCUGGAGUUUGCUGCAACAGCACUACGUUACCUAUAAACAGGAGCAUGUUGAGGACCUCAAGGAAAUCCCACUUCAAUUUUGAUGUUACUCUGCACAUUCUACAUGAUGGAAAAUAUCUUGGGAUGCCAGCUCUUUGAGGCCAGGGUUGAUUUCCUGUAUGUUCCACAUGCUUAGCAUGUUAUGAGCCUUCAGUAAACAGGGAUGGAUGGAUGGCAUUCAGCACUUUGAAGAUGAGAAGCAUACUUGAAGUGGCUCCAGCUCUAUUUAGUAAAGCAUUGGUAACAAAUGAAAGGAAGCAAAGAUCAGUCUUACUUGCUGCUGACAAACAGCCAGCUCAGAUGUACCUCCUCCUUUGCUCCUGACUGUGGAAGCCACUGUAAUGUGUGGAAUUUGGAGAGCACAGUCUUUUUGCUUCUAGAAUAGAAGCCUCAGUUAUGCAUAUUGCUCCCCCCCCCCCCCUUCAGGCAGCAUGGCUUGGAUGUUGCUUUCCAAAUGAAAGCAGCUCUGGAAGGUCAUUGGGAACAGUAAAUUGUGAUUAUGCUGG
RNAcentral lists this long non-coding RNA (1564 nucleotides) under Monodelphis domestica (gray short-tailed opossum). Its description in RNAcentral is "lncRNA (ENSMODG00000044164.1)". Lineage: Eukaryota; Metazoa; Chordata; Mammalia; Didelphimorphia; Didelphidae. The record is from RNAcentral.